UUAGUAACAUUUCACCUAUUCUCAUAACAAUAGAUAGAGUGGCUAGAGAGAGAAAGUAGAAAGAUAGAGAGAAGAAUAGAAAAAAGAAGAGGAAGAACUUGGAAGAGAAGAAAGCUAAGGUAAGGAGCUAGAAGAAGAGAGUGAAGCCUAAACUAGGUAUUUUGAAGGUUUAAGGUAGAGGGAUAGUUCUAUUUCAUCAAAUAAGCUAUAAUCUUCUUUUUCAAUUAUGGGUCACAAUCACUUUUGAAUGAUUUAUGAUUUUGAUGAUUUUGAAUGUUGAUUUUCGUGCUCCUAGUUAAGUGAUGAUUUUGAGUAUGUGAAAUUUGUUGAAAACUUGUUAUGGGUGCUUAAAUUUCAUUGCUUAAUUAUGUUGAAGUGAUUAUUUGAAGUUUUUAACUUAUGUUGAAAAUGAUGAUGUUGUUGUUACUUGAUGUUGAAUUCAUGAUGAAUAUGUGAUAAUUGUUGUUAGGUUUAUGUUGUUGAUGAGAAUUUAUGAAAUUGAAGAUGAUAAAUGUGAAGUUUGAAUAAGUUGUGGUGUUUUUAUGAUUUUUGAGAAAAUGGGUAAAGAAUGAAGAAGUUUGAUUUUGAUGAAUUUGAGUAGAUAAGAGGGUUGUUAUGAUGAAUUAGAAUGAUUAGAAUUUCUAUUUUCAAUCAAUGUGUUUUGGUGAGGAAUCGUUUGGGAGAAAAUCAGGUUUUUGUGUCAAAAUCUGUUUUAAGCACUUUUGUGAAAUAAGUCAUUUUGGAGUAAGUUGAAUCAAGUUGUUUUGGGUUGUAAGAUAUGUUUUUUAGUGUGUAUUAAUGGUCUAAGUGUUUGGAGAAUAUUUGGUGAAAACGGGAUCGAAAACGUUUUGAAAAUAGACUUUUACGCGCGAAAACGCGCGGAGAAAAAUCAGAUAUUCCCACAUAUCAAACUGGCACGACCGUGCGUGUUUUCUCUUGAAUGGGUGGCAAGACCGUGUGCCCUGUUGACACGACCAUGCCAACCCCCUGUGCGUGGAAACUCUGAUUUUUCGUUUUUUAAGGGUAUUUUAAGUAUACCAAUGGAUCUGAAACACCUUAGAUGAAGUGUAACUGGACUUCUAAGAGUGGUUUAACAUAGGUUUAUAUUAGGAUUGAAUUGGUUUUGAAAAAUGAAGAAAGAGGAGACGAAAUUUGCAAUUUUUGAGAACUAGUCGAACUUUGCAAAUUGAAUAUGUCAUGAUUGUUUAACUAAGAUGUUAGGUGAUAUGUUGGAAUGUUUUGAUGAGGAGUAAUAGCAUGAUUCCAUACUUUUGUUAUAAAAUUUAAAAUAGACGAUUUUUAUGAUUCCAUAACUUGUGAGUGGAUUGUAUUCAUGAUAAUAUGAUGAAAUAAGAAUGAAUCGAUGUUUAAUUGGUGUAUAGUGUGUUGGUGAUCAUGAUUGCUGAAUUGUUGUCUGUUUGUGGAUUGUGUUAUGUUAAACGAUGAAUGUUUCUUUGUGGUGAUAUAUCUUGAUGGUUUUGGUGAUGACUCUUUUGUUGAUUAUGACUUGUUGAUUGUGUGGAUGUAAAUACUUGAUAAUGCAAGUGGUGGUAAAUUGGUGAAUAUAUUAUAUGAUGAUAGUAAGACCCCACACGUAAGGAUCAUUGUGUGACCAACAAGUUCAGCUUGACAAAUUGAUUAGGUUAACACGUCCCAUGAACUCAUCACUUAAAUAGCCCUUAAGUGAAUUAACUCGAAUAAGACUUGACUGUUACAUAAAUCCAACAAAUGAAUAGAGGGGAUUCAAAGAAUCCUAACCACUGCUAUCAUUCUACAACCAAAACAGGUAACUUUGCUCUGUUGCAAACAGAUUAACUUUCCAAAACUUUAAACCCUUAUCUUUUAUUUUAUAAUUUUGUUCUCAAAUAAGUAACGUGAAUUGUUUAGACGAAACAACAAUCCAUGUGGAUACGAUACUAUACUUAUCAUUUUAUUACUUGGUAAUCGAUUUAGUAGACUUGCCUAAUCCAACCAUCAGAUUGUUAGGUUGAGAUCUUCUUUGUAGAGGGAUUGAGCUCUCAUCGUCCAUCGUAGGCCGCCUUGAGUCCUUCGCCACUGAAGUGGGUGGUGUAUCUGCAGGUGCUCCGACGCCCAAGUCAGUAAGAGGUUCAAGAGAUAGAGUGUGGCUUAAAAUAGGGUAAGAAGGGUGAUACCCGACUCAAUGCUAAGCAAGGGUAUAUAUAGUGGAUAAGUAGGGUUUUGGCUAUUAAGCCUUCACCUGGGCAGUUAUCCUUGAGGGACAGGUGUGACCAUCUGGGUGAUCCUUUUGCAUUAGAUUCAUAAUGGACGGUCAGGAUUUGGUGGUCCAGACUCCAGACCAUUAUAAAGUGAGAUUGAAUAUGUGUCCAUGUAUGGUGUCGCCUGCUCCCAAAUCCUAUAUCGAACUCGAGUCCAAACUAGAUAGGCCUUAGCCCAGUCUGGAAUAAUUUUAUUGUUAUUUUAUAUCAAUGUAGUUGCAUUUCAUUUCACCCAUUUAUUCAAUUUUAUUUACUUAGAUGACUAGAAUAACAGUUAUAUUCAUAUUCCUAUAUUUUUUAAAUUAUUUACUUUAUUGGCCAAAAAAUAAUAAUAAUUUAUUCUAAAUUUUAUUUGAAAAUGGAAUCACAUUUUUUUUUAAUUUAACUUUUUGUUUUUAUAAAAUGCGUUGUGGCUAAAAAUUCACCACUUAAGAUGAAUAAAUGGGGAAUCUAGAUUUAAAUCGCGACUCAUGCAUACUACAAUGUGUCUGUCAACUAAGCUUGAGUUUUGGACCUUUCAACUCCUUAAUCUUUAACCCAAAAUAGUUAAGUUAUCCUUCCACUCAGCUUUGUCAACUAAGUUAUUCUCACCGGAACAAUUUAAUGUUUUAAAAGUAAAGAUCCAGCAAUUUACUUAAAACUUAAUGUUUUAAGAGUAAAAAUCUACCCGUCCUUUUUUCUUUUUUUACAGAAAAUCUACCGAUUUACUUGAUGUUAUAAAAAUAUUUCUACGGUAUUGAUCAUAAAUAAGUUUCAUAAAUAAAAGAUUGACUAUUACUUUUUCCACCCUAUGCCUUUCCUUGCGCGCCUUAUUUUCUUCCAAUUUUACCCCUAGUCCGGAAUUCGUUUUCUGGACUGAAUUUUUAGAAUUUUGCAGAUGUUUCCGGAUUUGAAAAUCCGGAAUAAUGUUUUACCAGAAGUUUUGCAAUUUUAAUCUUCAAAAUUCGUAAAAUAAAAUGCAAAUAAAAUAAAAAAAACAUAAAUAAAAAGACAUAAACAUAAAAACAAAUCAUUUUAUUAAUAUAUGAACAACAGAUUACAUUAAUUUUCAAGCUUUUUAAGCUUAUUACAUGAGAUCCUAAAUCUAUUUCUACUCUUAACUUAUUACAUAAGCAAUACCGGUGGCUCCAGCCACUGGUGGAGAGGAAAGAGGGGGGGGAGGAAAGAAGAUGGCGGGGAAGAAGAAAUCAAUGCUGCCUGAUAGGACAUACUAGUAGCUUUGAUGUUGGUGGGAAGACAUAGGGGGCACAGGGGCCUCUAGGGAACAAGAGACCAUGAUGGUCAACAUGACACCCAGGCAAACCAACCUCACACCCAGACUGACCCCUUCCUUAUUGACCGAUCAUAUGACCCAUGAUGGAUUUUCAAAGAGGCCUCUUUCUAUGAAAGGACAACGAUGAAAACACAUCGUUGUAGACGAAAAGAGGAGAAAGAAGAAAGUGUGCAAAUGUUUGAGGAAAUGAACCAUAUUUAUAGGGGAGGGAGAUUAAAAAAAACGUGGAGAAGCCAUCAAUGUCGGUCAAAAAACGUGUAGAAACACGUUUUUCAACUUGACCACCGCCCAAAACGUUUGAAAAACGUUUUCUUUGUGGUGCAGAACACCGGCCAAAAGCUUCUGGUGUACUCUGGAAUGUAUAAUCCGGAAUACACAUAUAUUCCGGAAUAUAUAUUACCGAAACAUACGAUGCUGGGGUGAACAAAGGGAAACUUGAGACUUUGAGUAUGGUGAGGGUUGGUUCGGAUUUUAGAAUCCGGAUUUAUUCAGCAUUGGAUUCUUUUGUGUGUCCCACAUUGCACCGACAAUUUUUUGUGGUCCACAACGCCCACAUACCUCUAUAAAUAGGGGUCCCUGUUUUCAUUACAAGUAAACUACAUCAGACAAAAAAACAUGGAAUUCCCUGGCUUUGAUCCGAACACCAAGCUAGCGGCAGUCUACUACAACGGUGGAACACCACCCCAUCUGUUUAGGAUUCGAGACGAUGUCACCCUCUCCGAGCUGAAGGAUGAGCUGGAUCAAAUCAACCGUCAACUCAACCACAAAGACACGAGGAGGGUGGUCGGAGUUGAAUAUCGAUGUCCAUUGUCCGACUCAGCCGGAUGAAACUCAAGAACGACGACAACGUGCGAACUAUGUUGUCUGUCUUUGGUCAGCACAGUACAAGAGGACCGAUCGAGUUGGACGCUUCGUUGGUUAGAUCUGCUGAACAAAUUCUGAAAAGUUUACAUCGGACUAGGAACUACGAAGAGAUUCAGGCUCUGCUGAAGGGACCAGAGGAGGACGAAGUUAAUUUAGAUGAUCCCUGAUAAUGUGCUAUGUUUUAAUUAAUCACGUGUAUUAUGUUGUUUUAAUUGCGUGUUAAUUAUGUGUUGUUGAAUUAAGUUGUUGCAUUAUGUUUUGAAUAAUAUAUAUAUAUAUAUAUAUAUAUAUAUAUAUAUAUUAUUUAAACUUUCAUUAUGUUUUAAAUUACGUCAAAUAUGUUCAUUUAUUCGAUAAAAUAACCAAAGAUAUGCUUUUCGGAUUACGAAAUUCGGAUUUUCCUAGGGCGUAUGUGUGUUCCGGAAAACGAAAUACGGAAUACCUCAGCAUAGGAUUCUUUUGUAUGGACCACAUUGCACCAAGAGUUUAUGUGGUCCGCAACAUUCAAGGACAUCUAUAAAUACAUACUCUCCGGUUUUCAGCUUCAACACCAUCAAAGCACACAAACAUAACAAAGAAAAACCAUGCAAAUUUUUGUCAUUAAGCUGAGGAUCUUCCUGACGUUGUCGCAAAUAAAUGAGUUAGCUCUCUAUUUGACAGCGUGAUGAAGAUCUUCUGCAUGGUGUCAAAAUAUACAAACAAGUACACCAAAGAGACCAUGCAAGUUUUUGUCAUUGUGCUGAGGAUCUUUCUCAUACUGUUUUAAAUAUAUAGGUCUCUAUAUAACAGCAUGAUGAAGAUCAUCAGCAUGCUGUCAAAAAUAUAUAUAUACUCCUUGAUACAUAGAUAACUCAAAAAUAUCAAGAGGUUGCUAUGAGUUAGAUCUUGCUGCCUACCAGAUGAAUAUGUCAUUUGGCAAGGCAGCAGGAUCUAACUCACAGAAAUCUUCUUGAAAACAUUUUCCCAAAAGAUUCAUCAUUUAUGUUAUUAUGGUUUUUUUUAACUAUUUAUUUGUCUUAUGUUGCUUCAAUUUAUGUUAUGUAUCUUUGUUCUAUUUUUUUCCGAGGCAAAUGCAACGAAAACGAUCCAAACAAAAGGGUCUGAUACAGUUCGGACUUUAAAUUCCGGAAUAGCUUCAUGCAUUCCCGAUUAUAAAAUUCGGAAACCCUCAGUAACAUUUUGGCCGGUGACGUUUCACCAAAGGUUAUGUCGGUUAGUGGAGUUUUAAUACGUUUUUUGGACGAUUUUGAAUGAAAAACACGUUUUCCUUGACUUCCAAAUUACCUAUGACUUGCUUUAGGCUAUAAAAAGGUUUGGAUCUUCAACAUUUUCCUUCAUUCUUCUUCACCUUCCUUUCUUACAUUUUCUUCAAAAAAAUUUAGUUUUUUAGGUAGAUUUUAGGAGUGUUAGUGGUGUCAUGGUCAUUGUUGACCGCUCAUACGACCCCUGCAAUUGCAUUGCAGCUUAUGCGGGGGUCGUAUAACGGUCAACAAAGACCCUUGACAUCAAAAAAAGACACAAAAUAUUCAUAUCGUAUUUGUCCGGAUUAUAUAUUCCGGAAACACUAACAAUCUGGUCCGGAUUACGUAAUCUGGACCAGUGGUAUUUAUGGAAUUUUUGCAGGGAAGACAACGGGAUGGGAAAAGUAAGACAACAGGAUGAGAAAAGUAAUAGUCUAAAAGAUUAGUAUGAAGAUGAUCCAUUAUUUCGCAAAAAGGACAAAAGUACGCGCUUGCUUAAUGCUCCGUUUAUUUGACUAUUUCCCAGUGUCUUUGGAAAUCAUUUCCAAAUUGCUUGGAUUCCAACUUGAUGAAGUAUAUAAUUAUUUUUAUUUAAAUUUUCUACUUAUAUAUAUACACACACUUCUUCAGUGGUUGAGACAGUCAGACAACUAGCUUACAUGUAUUAGCCAGCAAGAUUCCUUAAAAAAAAUGUAUUAGCUAGCAAGAUCUCUUGAUGUUGGUCAACAAAUUCAAUGAUGUAGACUUGUAAAUUCGUGAUAUAUUAUUUCUAGUUCAAAAUUAAAUAAUAAUCCAAUACUAAGUUUUAUUUUUUAAAGAUCAAGACCAACCGUUCUUUAAAUAAAAUUUAGUUAAGCUUUGUGUUAUUUAAACAAACUAUUGUGUGAAAAAAUAUAAUUAAAUAAUAACACAACUUUGUUGUUCCUUAAAAAAUAAUAUCGUUACUGCUUUUUGUAAAAUAACUUUGUGCGUUAGACAAUUGGCAAUGGAGUGUAUCACUACUUGACGGUUUUGGAAAAUAUUACAACUCUAAAAUCUUUGACAUCAUUUGACACAAGACAAUUCCUUUAAAAGUCAAUCUCUUUGUUGACGUCUUUUUCGAAAUCACAUUGUUAUAGCUGAUAAUUUUUUGUGGCAAGGUCUACUUUAGGAUCAACAUCAAUUAUGCGCGGAUAGUUGUGGAUCAAACAGGGACAAUAAUCAUUUGUUCUUGCACUAUAAUUUUUUUUCAGUUCUAUUUGGAUUUUGGUUUCAAUUUGCUAGGGUAUGUUAUGACAAAUCCAACCCUCAUCACAUAUCAAUUUGGUCAUCUUGGAGGUUCAUCAAAACAUUAUCAUUCAAUUAUGUAAAGAACGAAACAGUCAAAUUUUUAAGCAUAAGAAGUAUUAUCUGCAUCAAUUGUUUGACAAAAUUAAACCACCAAUAUUUUGAUAUGGUUGAAAGCGAAAUACAAUAUUUUCUCGGUUGAUUACCAUUCAUGGUGGCUAAUCCAAUAAUGUGCUUGGGAGCUAUAACAUAAUCUGAAAUUUGUAUUUUCUCUUCUUUAUACGUUCCAUUACCUUAACUUUGCAAUAUUUUGAUUUAGCAUUGUCUUCCUGACUCAACUUAUAUUAAGAAGUGUUUUUUUAUAAUACUACCUCCGUCCCUAAUUAUAAGACUCUUUUGAAAAAAUAAUUUGUCCCUUUUUAUAAGACCCCUUUGAUGUUUCCAAGUACAUUAAUUAUU
RNAcentral lists this long non-coding RNA (7340 nucleotides) under Medicago truncatula (barrel medic). RNAcentral's name for it is "long non-coding RNA (MTRU_LNC003325)". The stretch from base 5787 to 5880 matches the Rfam family "MIR2587 microRNA precursor family". The record is from RNAcentral. Lineage: Eukaryota; Viridiplantae; Streptophyta; Magnoliopsida; Fabales; Fabaceae.